UCAUAGAAUUUUUAAAAAUUCAUGAUGUCGUAAGGGAAAAUAAUGAUAAUACCUUACUAUGAGUGUCGUCCAAAUCUGGUGCCAGAAGACUCGGUAAGACCAGAGACGCAAACGUUAAUCAUCAUAAACAGGCGUAAAGGGUUUGUAGGCAGCUUUUAUAGGAUUAUUAUAAAAAGAUAAUCUAAAUUAAAAGCUAGAAUCAAAAAGAGGUUAUAGUGUAUAACGCCUAGAGGAGGGCUGAUAUCCGUAGAUCCUAGGCAGAAUACUCAGGGCGAAGGCCACUCUCCAUUAAUGAUUGACGCUGAGAAACGAAGGUUAGGGUAGGAAAUAGGAUUAGAUACCCCGGUACUCCUUUCUGUAAACGAUGAAUGGUAGUCAUUAGUAAAAAAAAUAACUAGAGGCGAAGUUAACACAAUAACCAUUCCGCCUUGUGAGUACUACUGCAAAGUAGAAAACAAAAAAAUUAGUCGGUCUCGAAGCAAACGGAGUGAAGCAUGUUAUUUA
This 504-nucleotide ribosomal RNA is filed under the name Ganoderma sichuanense. RNAcentral describes it as "partial small subunit ribosomal RNA". It matches the Rfam family "Bacterial small subunit ribosomal RNA", at positions 409 to 948 of the family's 1533-position model. The record is from RNAcentral. Lineage: Eukaryota; Fungi; Basidiomycota; Agaricomycetes; Polyporales; Polyporaceae.